AUUGAACGUUGGCGGCAGGCUUAAUACAUGCAAGUCGAACGAGAAAGUACCUUCGGGUGCGAGUACAGUGGCGGACGGGUGAGUAACGCGUAGGAAUCUACCUUGUAGUGGGGGACAACUUGGGGAAACUCAAGCUAAUACCGCAUAAUACCUAAGGGUGAAAGUGGGGGAUCUUCGGACCUCACGCUAUUAGAGGAGCCUGCGUUGGAUUAGCUAGUUGGUGGGGUAAAGGCCUACCAAGGCGACGAUCCAUAGCUGUUCUGAGAGGAAGAUCAGCCACACUGGAACUGAGACACGGUCCAGACUCCUACGGGAGGCAGCAGUAGGGAAUCUUGGGCAAUGGGCGCAAGCCUGACCCAGCCAUGCCGCGUGUGUGAAGAAGGCCUUAGGGUUGUAAAGCACUUUCAGUCGUGAAGAAAUACUUAUAGUUAAUAGCUAUGAGUCUUGACGUUAACGACAGAAGAAGAUCCGGCUAACUCCG
This 481-nucleotide ribosomal RNA is filed under the name uncultured Gammaproteobacteria bacterium. RNAcentral describes it as "bacterial SSU rRNA". It matches the Rfam family "Bacterial small subunit ribosomal RNA", at positions 30 to 505 of the family's 1533-position model. Lineage: Bacteria; Pseudomonadati; Pseudomonadota; Gammaproteobacteria. The record is from RNAcentral.